This is a long non-coding RNA of Patiria miniata (bat star), 376 nucleotides long. RefSeq lists it as uncharacterized. The record is from RefSeq and is a predicted model, not a curated record. Lineage: Eukaryota; Metazoa; Echinodermata; Asteroidea; Valvatida; Asterinidae. The transcript is spliced from 2 exons.
CGACUACUCAGCAUUACUUCGAGUGAAAUCGACUCCCAAAAGGACUUCAACUCCUGCCGAAGUGUUUCCGUCAGUUGGAUCGAAAAGACCCUCGUCCUCCCGUGACGACGACAAUGACGAUAAGCCGUUGCUCUUCUCAGACGACGAUGACCAGACGGAUAUCAAGACGGAGGUUGCCAGUCAGAUUUACCGGAUACAGAGCUUCCUGAGGAGUGAUCGUCUGAAGCGACCCAGGAGGAGUGCAAGUAACAAGGGACAGGUUAUCUAAGGUUGACAUGCAUGAUGACUUGAAAUGCUCUCCGGAGAUUAUACACAGAUAUUGUUUUCGUCGGAAGGGUUUAGUUCGACCCGCGAGGAUCUAGGAAAUAGUAAAAAA